UGGGACGUCGGCAAGCGGUUAAGCCACCGGGUUUUGAUCCCGACAUUCGCAGGUUCGAAUCCUGCCGUCCCAG
RNAcentral lists this transfer RNA (73 nucleotides) under Spirochaetia bacterium. RNAcentral describes it as "tRNA-Gln". It matches the Rfam family "tRNA". From Rfam's summary of the family: Transfer RNA (tRNA) molecules are approximately 80 nucleotides in length. Their secondary structure includes four short double-helical elements and three loops (D, anti-codon, and T loops). The record is from RNAcentral. Lineage: Bacteria; Pseudomonadati; Spirochaetota; Spirochaetia.